This 461-nucleotide ribosomal RNA is filed under the name uncultured bacterium. RNAcentral's name for it is "partial 16S ribosomal RNA". It matches the Rfam family "Bacterial small subunit ribosomal RNA", at positions 355 to 827 of the family's 1533-position model. The record is from RNAcentral.
UGGGGAAUAUUGCACAAUGGGCGAAAGCCUGAUGCAGCGACGCCGCGUGAGGGAUGACGGCCUUCGGGUUGUAAACCUCUCUCAGCAGGGAAGAAGCGAAAGUGACGGUACCUGCAGAAGAAGCGCCGGCUAACUACGUGCCAGCAGCCGCGGUAAUACGUAGGGCGCAAGCGUUGUCCGGAAUUAUUGGGCGUAAAGAGCUCGUAGGCGGUUAGUCGCGUCUGCUGUGAAAAUCUCGAGGCUCAACCUCGGGCUUGCAGUGGGUACGGGCUGACUAGAGUGCGGUAGGGGUGACUGGAAUUCCUGGUGUAGCGGUGGAAUGCGCAGAUAUCAGGAGGAACACCGAUGGCGAAGGCAGGUCACUGGGCCGCAACUGACGCUGAGGAGCGAAAGCAUGGGGAGCGAACAGGAUUAGAUACCCUGGUAGUCCAUGCCGUAAACGUUGGGCACUAGGUGUGGGG